CUUGAAUUCCUAUAAGAGGUCCAGCCUGCCCAGUGACUUUGUUCAACGGCCGCGGUAUCCUAACCGUGCGAAGGUAGCGUAAUCACUUGUCUUUUAAAUGAGGACUUGUAUGAAUGGCAUCACGAGGGUUAUACUGUCUCCUUUUUCUAAUCAGUGAAACUAAUCUUCCCGUGAAGAAGCGGGAAUAAACAUAUAAGACGAGAAGACCCUAUGGAGCUUUAAACUUAAUAACAAAUACUAACCUUACUUCAACUUCCAGAACAUUAAUCUUAAUUUUAGUAUUAUGUUUAUUAGUUUUAGGUUGGGGUGACCGCGGAGUAAAAAUUAACCUCCAUAUUGAAUAGGACUUGUCCUUGAGCUAAGAACUACAACCCUAAGCACCAACAAAUUGACAUUAAUUGACCCAAUAUUUUGAUCAACGAAC
This 424-nucleotide ribosomal RNA is filed under the name Osteocephalus yasuni. Its description in RNAcentral is "partial large subunit ribosomal RNA". It matches the Rfam family "Bacterial large subunit ribosomal RNA", at positions 1834 to 2439 of the family's 2925-position model. The record is from RNAcentral. Lineage: Eukaryota; Metazoa; Chordata; Amphibia; Anura; Hylidae. RNAcentral also lists the same sequence under 1 other name.